GGCGAGUGAAGCGGUAACAGCUCAAAUUUGAAAUCUGGCCUCACGGUCCGAGUUGUAAUUUGUAGAGGAUGCUUCGAGCAUGGUCUGGCCUAAGUUCCUUGGAACAGGACGUCAUAGAGGGUGAGAAUCCCGUAUGCGGCCAGGUGCCUACGCUCAUGUGAAGCUCCUUCGACGAGUCGAGUUGUUUGGGAAUGCAGCUCAAAAUGGGUGGUAAAUUUCAUCUAAAGCUAAAUAUUGGCCAGAGACCGAUAGCGCACAAGUAGAGUGAUCGAAAGAUGAAAAGCACUUUGGAAAGAGAGUUAAACAGUACGUGAAAUUGUUGAAAGGGAAGCGCUUGCAACCAGACUUGCGCGCGGCCGAUCAUCCGGUGUUCUCACCGGUGCACUCGGCCGUGCUCAGGCCAGCAUCGGUUUUGGCGGCUGGAUAAAGGCCCUAGGAAUGUAGCUCCUCUCGGGGAGUGUUAUAGCCUAGGGUGCAAUGCAGCCUGCUGGGACCGAGGACCGCGCUUCGGCUAGGAUGCUGGCGUAAUGGUUGUAAGCGGCCCGUCUUGAAACACGGACCAAGGAGUCUAACAUCUAUGCGAGUGUUUGGGUGUCAAACCCAUACGCGUAAUGAAAGUGAACGGAGGUGAGAACCCUUAAGGGUGCAUCAUCGACCGGUCCUGAAGUUUACGGAAGGAUCUGAGUAAGAGCAUAGCUGUUGGGA
Molecule: ribosomal RNA, 705 nt
Filed under: Pseudogymnoascus sp.
Lineage: Eukaryota; Fungi; Ascomycota; Leotiomycetes; Thelebolales; Thelebolaceae
Description: partial large subunit ribosomal RNA
Rfam family: Eukaryotic large subunit ribosomal RNA
Source: RNAcentral